UUUGUAAAGUAAUAUAACACACGACGAAUUAAUAUCGAGUUUGGACUCUCUGCACCCUGGAGAAGAGGACAUCGGUGUCGGAAGCCGCUGGCAUAUGAAAGUCUGAUUAAAACAUGAUGAUGAUGAGGAGGAGGAGGAGGAAGCCCAGUCCACUGGAGGAGGCCACACACUUCAGCCUUAAGAAGAAAGAUCAAGAUGGUCUGGAAGCUCGGUUUAUAAAUGAGUUUAAAGGGAGAGGUGUGUUUAGUUGUACUGACUUUGAUAAGGGAGAUUUCCUAUUGGAGUACAGAGGGGAUCUCAUAAGCAGAGAAGAAUGUGAGCGGAGGCGAAGAAUAUAUCAUGAUGCCCUCAAAGUGUUCAUGUAUGAAUUUCGAUUCAAUGGCAAAUUCCUUUGUGUUGAUGCAGCCCUGGAUGAUGGCUCCCUUGGGAGACUGGUGAAUGAUGACCAUAUAAAACCAAACUGCAGAAUGAAGACCAUCCGUGUGGAUGGUAACCCUCAUCUUUAUUUGCCAUAAGAAGCAUCUGUCCUGGUGAAGAGAUCACAUACAAUUACGGCGAUUCUGAGUGGCCAUGGCGAUGCAAGAUGACAUCGUCUAAGAAUUCACCACCUCCAGAACAAAAAGAUACAGCAGAUAAAAAGGCAUCCAAAAAGUGCCCGAUAAGCGAGUUGCCAUCAGACAGUGCUGCCUGUGAAGAACUGACCGUAGAAACAGACGAGGUUACCCUUGUUAUGGCCCAAUUGUCCUCAGAGAAGCAGAAUUAUAUUGAGAAGAACGGUGGGGAGAAGGUUUAUCCUGUCAAAGAGUCGUUGGUUAAAGAGGAGCUGAGCUUUUACUUAUUAACACAAGGACUUGAACAGAUGACAUCAUUUAAGAAUUCACCGACACCAGAACAACAGGAUACAUCAGAUAAAAAGGCAUCCAAGAAGUUGAUGUGAGAUUGUGACAGUGUGAAGCCAGUGGACCUGAUGCUGAAGAUAACGUUGCUGCUGGUGCCUCUAAUCAUGUAGGUAUUCAGAAGAUGCCCACUGAAACACCUCCUGAAGUUUCUCAAGGUAAUGAGUCCAGGACAAAGAUUGGGAACCCAUGAAUAAGUUGAAGAGUGUGUUGGUCCAAUGCUGAGAUUUUUUUACAACUGUGAUGAAACUUUUGAAAGCACAUAUAACUAAAGGGAAACUCGGCACUUUGUCUGAAUGCCAGCAGUGUUAGACUUUGUAAGAAAUGGAGGUCUUUGCUUGAAAAGGAAAGCCCAAAAUAAGUGAUACACAAGCAAGUACGUUAUUUCUUUGAGAUUUUUUUGUCCACUUAUUUUGUUUUUCAUUUACAUAUGCAGCAGAUUGUUUUUAAAUUCUACAGUUGUUCUUAAAUUCUGCUUUAACAUUUUAUUUUGAAUAACUGGUUUAGGUUUCAUCUUAUGUUUUAUUGAUUAUAUAUAUAGCUAUGCCUUAUUUUAUUUAGAUUGUUUUGAAUGGUUCAAUGGAUUAAGAUGCCUAUGAAAGUACAUAGUUGUACAUGAUGGAUGUCUGUUUCUUCACUUGGCAUGCUUGAACUAAAAAAAAGUUUUUCAAUAUUAUUAUUUCAAUAUUAUAAUAAAAAUUUAAUAUAAUAGUACUUGUGUUUAUCCUGGCAAUGCACUGUUGUCAAUUUUGUGUGUUGCAUUUGGAUAUGUUCCAAUAAAACACAUUUGUCCCUGUAGUACUGUAAGAUCUUUUAUUGUGUGUUGUAUUUGCAAAACGGUUCUUUCAAAUCACCUUGGUCCUGGCAAUGCACAGUAUUGUCAUGUUUGUGUGUUGUUUACUAUAAUGUGCCAGUAAAACACAUUUGUUCCUAUAAACCAGCAAAUUUACUUUUUCUGUGUGUUGUAAACUGCAUGGCGUCAUAAAUCAGUAGGACCUAGUAAACCCCAAUUUUCACAGGGGCGGGUACUUUUAGGAGUGGGCGGGGAAGUCCUUAUGUACCACUUAAAUAUCAUGUUAUCAUAUUUUGAGUUCUGUUGUGUGUAUAGGAAAUCCUGAGUGAGAUUCUUUUUCUGCAGAACAAAAGAAAUUUUUUGAUAGUAUUCUCAUCUCUGUAAAGCAUUGGGAAAGGUGGGUCCCUUUAAACCACCACCCUACUGGUUUGGCCUUUAAAGACCUUAUAAACCACAAAAACCAGUAUAGGUGUGUGUGUG
Molecule: long non-coding RNA, 2169 nt
Organism: Clarias gariepinus (North African catfish)
Lineage: Eukaryota; Metazoa; Chordata; Actinopteri; Siluriformes; Clariidae
Exons: 12
Source: RefSeq, a predicted model, not a curated record